RNAcentral lists this ribosomal RNA (445 nucleotides) under uncultured Propionicimonas sp. RNAcentral's name for it is "partial 16S ribosomal RNA". Lineage: Bacteria; Bacillati; Actinomycetota; Actinomycetes; Propionibacteriales; Nocardioidaceae. The record is from RNAcentral.
GACUACUGGGGUAUCUAAGCCUGUUUGCUCCCCACGCUUUCGCUUCUCAGCGUCAGGAAAUGUCCAGAGAACCGCCUUCGCCACUGGUGUUCCUCCUGAUAUCUGCGCAUUCCACCGCUCCACCAGGAAUUCCGUUCUCCCCUACAUCCCUCAAGUCCGCCCGUAUCGAAAGCAGGCUCGGGGUUAAGCCCCGAGUUUUCACUUCCGACGCAACGGACCGCCUACAAGCUCUUUACGCCCAAUAAUUCCGGACAACGCUCGCACCCUACGUAUCACCGCGGCUGCUGGCACGUAGUUAGCCGGUGCUUCUUCUGCAGGUACCGUCAGAAACCCUUCGUCCCUGCUGAAAGCGGUUUACAACCCGAAGGCCGUCAUCCCGCACGCGGCGUUGCUGCGUCAGGCUUUCGCCCAUUGCGCAAUAUUCCCCACUGCAGCCCCCCGUAGG